Sardina pilchardus (European sardine) is the source of this 167-nucleotide long non-coding RNA. RefSeq lists it as uncharacterized. Lineage: Eukaryota; Metazoa; Chordata; Actinopteri; Clupeiformes; Clupeidae. The transcript has 3 exons. The record is from RefSeq and is a predicted model, not a curated record.
UGGGAGCAGAGGAAAAGAUAAAGAACUGCCUAAAUGUAGUGGAGAUGGGGGAAGAAAGAAAAGAGCAGAAAAAGAAAAGUUGAUGCCAUUGCCGCCCCCUUCUCCAGACUUCAGCAGUUGUGAAAGUGAAUGAGAAUACAACAACUCUUUUGAAGACAACAGCACCC